RNAcentral lists this long non-coding RNA (690 nucleotides) under Daphnia pulex (common water flea). RNAcentral's name for it is "uncharacterized LOC124199444, transcript variant X2". The record is from RNAcentral. Lineage: Eukaryota; Metazoa; Arthropoda; Branchiopoda; Diplostraca; Daphniidae.
UAGUAAACUAGAAACAGAAUUUUCUUGUGCUUCGAAAAUGUACUUCUCUGCAGUCUAGAAAUGCCCAUGUUCAGAAGUUAUCGUUAUCGCCUCACUGCCGUAGUGCCGUGAUUCUCAGCAAACAACGUGGUUGUAAUAUUCAAAUGCUUCCACUAUCCUAGCAAUAUUCAAACCGACGUGUCCGCAGGCGAAUUCCUUCCUGCUUAAAAUGUCUUGAUUGGUGCACAGCUUUGGAUUAUGUAUCCACCAAUGUGAAUAGAAAAAGAAUCUUGUGGUACCAAACUGGAAGUUUCCUGUGAUGUAUGUACCAGUGUACCUUGUUGCAGUCCUGCUUUCAUCCAAUUAGAACUCGGGAAUUGGGCUUUCUCCUAACGGGUACCAUCCAUUCUAUAAUUGGUCGGAAAUUGUAAUGGCAAGCAACACCAUUGGCUCGGGUAUCCAUUUUGGAAAUUGGUGUCCGUAAGGUGCGUCUCGUGUCAGAUGUUUUCCAAUUUAAUAAAGUUUCAGAUGGAUGAGAUCACCCGACUACUUCGUCUGAAAGUAUGUGACCGAAACUUAUGUAAGAUUCGAAUAUGGUAAUAAAUUUAUGUUGGAUAAUAAAUUUGGUUUGGGUAGAUAUUGCAUGUCUAAUGGCCUAUUAUCCUCAUUUAUUAUUUGACGUUGUUGAAAUAUCACUAAGUUUUAAACUGG